This 513-nucleotide ribosomal RNA is filed under the name Triticum aestivum (bread wheat). Its description in RNAcentral is "partial small subunit ribosomal RNA". Lineage: Eukaryota; Viridiplantae; Streptophyta; Magnoliopsida; Poales; Poaceae. The record is from RNAcentral.
AUGAAUGCUAAAUAUAAACUUGCUGGAGAUAAGGGUAGAAAACAUGUUGUGUUUGCACCUGGAGAUCUUGUUUGGUUACAUUUGCGUAAGGAUAGAUUUCCUGAUUUGCGCAAAUCAAAGUUAAUGCCACGUGCUGAUGGUCCCUUUAAGGUGUUAGAGAAAAUAAAUGAUAAUGCAUAUAAACUUGAGCUGCCUGCAGAUUUUGGGGUUAGUCCCACUUUUAACAUUGCAGAUUUGAAGCCUUAUUUGGGUGAGGAAGAUGAACUUCCGUCGAGGACGACUUCAUUUCAAGAAGGGGAGGAUGAUGAGGACAUCAAUACAAUUGUUACACCCACAACCCCUGCUGCUAUACAUACUGGACCAAUUACUAGAGCUCGUGCACGCCAACUAAAUUACCAGAUGAAGGGCCUAGCUUGGAGAAGGAUGAACAUUGGAGCAAGAACAAGCAUGGAGAUGAUGGCAUGCGCAAGGGAAACAAGAACGGAGUUACAAGUGAUGAUUUCAGGACUUUGA